GACGAACGCUGGCGGCGCGCCUAACACAUGCAAGUCGAGCGGAGACAGUGAGUAGCUUGCUAUGAGCUGUUUUAGCGGCGGACGGGUGAGUAACGCGUGAGCAACCUUUCCCAGACAGGGGAAUAACACACCGAAAGGUGUACUAAUACCGCAUAAGACCACGGGAUCACAUGGUUCUGGGGUAAAAGAUUUAUCGGUUCGGGGUGGGCUCGCGUCCGAUUAGGUAGUUGGUGAGGUAACGGCCCACCAAGCCGACGAUCGGUAGCCGACCUGAGAGGGUGAUCGGCCACAUUGGGACUGAGACACGGCCCAAACUCCUACGGGAGGCAGCAGUGGGGAAUAUUGGGCAAUGGAGGAAACUCUGACCCAGCAACGCCGCGUGGAGGAGAAGGUUUUCGGAUCGUAAAACUCUAUCAGCAGGGAAGAUAAUGACGGUACCUGACUAAGAAGCACCGGCUAAAUACGUG
This 467-nucleotide ribosomal RNA is filed under the name uncultured bacterium. RNAcentral's name for it is "bacterial SSU rRNA". It matches the Rfam family "Bacterial small subunit ribosomal RNA", at positions 28 to 507 of the family's 1533-position model. The record is from RNAcentral.